This 264-nucleotide ribosomal RNA is filed under the name uncultured bacterium. RNAcentral describes it as "partial 16S ribosomal RNA". It matches the Rfam family "Bacterial small subunit ribosomal RNA", at positions 793 to 1055 of the family's 1533-position model. The record is from RNAcentral.
GUCCACGCCCUAAACGAUGUCUACUAGUUGUCGGGUCUUAAUUGACUUGGUAACGCAGCUAACGCGUGAAGUAGACCGCCUGGGGAGUACGGUCGCAAGAUUAAAACUCAAAGGAAUUGACGGGGACCCGCACAAGCGGUGGAUGAUGUGGAUUAAUUCGAUGCAACGCGAAAAACCUUACCUACCCUUGACAUGGUCGGAAUUCUGCUGAGAGGCGGAAGUGCUCGAAAGAGAGCCGAUACACAGGUGCUGCAUGGCUGUCGU